UAGGGCUACAGUUCUCGAGGAGAAGUUUGGUGGCUCUGAGAAAAACCUUGGACUGUUUGGGGCAGGGACCGUGAGUGGGUAGGUAACUCCUCACUUGCCCUUAGCUUUGUGGUGGCUCUCGGUCUUCUUGGGCAGCAGUUGGGCAGGACGCCGCCCUGCGCGAUGGUGACGCGGCCCAGCAGCUUGUUGAGCUCCUCGUCGUUGCGGAUGGCCAGCUGCAGGUGGCGCGGGAUGAUGCGCGUCUUCUUGUUGUCGCGGGCCGCGUUGCCCGCCAGCUCCAGGAUCUCGGCCGUCAGGUACUCCAGCACGGCCGCCAGGUACACCGGCGCGCCGGCCCCCACCCGCUCGGCGUAGUUGCCCUUGGCGAGCAGGCGGUGCACGCGGCCCACCGGGAACUGCAGCCCGGCCCGCGACGAGCGCGUCUUGGCCUUGGCGCGAGCCUUGCCGCCCUGCUUUCCGCGCCCACACGUGUUUAGAGAAGGAGCUGUUGUGUAAAAAGCCGGUCUGAAGAAGGGGCUAUUAUAGUCACUGGUUGUUUCCUAAUGUUUCUUUCCCAUUGGUUUGCAGAUGUCGUUCUGAGUUAGCCAAUCAGAAGGUACUCUUGACUUGCUGGGCCCCCAGUGGUAGAAAAAUACUGCGCCAGUUAGAGGUUGACAUUAAAGCUUGUAUAUGUUGUGGAGCAGUAGAAAAUCUUGUUUUUUUGUUUGUUUUUUUCCCCCCCCCUUGGUUAGUUUGAGGCCUCCUUUGGGGCACUAUUCACUCUAUUUUCCUCUAAAGCCGAAUAAUUAUUUAGCACCCCGAGGCUAAGGAACAUUAAAAAGGGUGAAAGUCUUCUCUGGUGGUUUGUUAUUCAUCCUCUCUGCCAGAUUUCCUUCCCCUGGAUUGCUGAGAGGUCCCAGGGAGGCAUGGUUGGUUUGAAUAUUUAUGCCGAGUAAUGAAAGAAUAGAAAGGGUGAAACGCAAUAAAAGAAAAAUCUCUGGGAGUCUGCGUGGUUUGUUAGAAAGUUCCCGGAGUUGGAGUUGCGGUGACCAGAGCAAAAUAUUUGGAUUCUACAUGGGUUGAUCUUCCACCAGGGCCGAGGUGGGUUUGUUUGUUUGUUUGUUUAUUUAUUUAUUUAUUUAUUUAUUUAAUUUCAAGGAAGUCCACUUAAUUUUACUGGGAAAUCUUGGCAAAAAUCUGAUCAUUAUGGGGCUGUAAAGGUGGAUGGGGAAACAUCUUUAUUUUCUCAAGGAGUACAUGCAAUUUGGCAUUUCCCUCAAUUAUGUGUGUAGGCAACUAAUCACAAUGCAUUUUGCUAGUGCCUGUGGCUUUUCCAGUAAUGACAACCACAGACGUUUUCUUAUCAGUUUCAAGUACUGAAGGUAUUUUGAAAUGAUGUUUGCACUCCUCUGAGCUCUUGGCACUGACAUUCAUCAUUACACCUGGUGCCCCUUGUUAUUUGAUGUGUCCCUGAUGAAACACAUCAUUGCAUACACAUCCUUAAAAGAAAUACACUUUGAUAACUGCAUUUUAAUGUCGCUUUCUUAUCCAGUAUGCUUUAAGUAUGGAGAAGGUGUCCAGAUUUCCUCAGACCGUCCAUAGACUCCAUAGCAGGAAAGAACUCAGAUACUGCUGAUCACAUCUCCAGUGGGCACAGAUUACUCAAGGUUCAAGUCCCUUUUGACUUUGUUUCUUGAUUUGCAGCCUUCCUCCCCUACGCUUACGGCUUAAUAGCUUAUUAACAUUUAUUAUUUUCAAACUUUGUUAAAACAGGCCUGGGGGAUGUAUCCGAGAGUAUCUUUCUAGCUGUUCUUUUUUUUUUUUAAUGUUUAUUUACUUUUUGAAAGAGAGAAACAGCAUGAGUGGGGGAGGGGCAGAGAGAGAGGGAGACACAGAAUCCGAAGCAGGCUCCGGACAAUGAGCUGUUAGCACAGAGCCCAGAGCAGGGCUGGAACUCAAUGACCGCGAGAUCAUGACCUGAGCCGAAGUUGGAUGCUCAACCGACUGAGCCACCCAGGCGCCCCUCUUCCUAGCUGUUCUAAGCAGGGGUUCAACUUUUCCGAAUCACAGCUGCAGCUCAUAAUUUCUUCUUUCCAGAAAGAGCCCCCCAAACUCUUUAUGACAGUGACUUGUUUGAGGAUGAGAUCUGGAUAAAUGGGGGAAUGUGACAUAUUGACUCAAAAGAAUCUUUUUGAAGACAAGAGGUUGUAUGGAUCGGAAAAGAGAAGUGGCAAGAGACCCGUGCGCUUUCUCGAACGCAGGAUGAGAGAGCUCACUUCUGAUGCAGAGCCAGGUGGGAUCAGAGAAUGAGGCCAGCACGGGGCAUUCAGUGAGUGGUCAAAAUGACUACGAGUGUCUCUGCAGUUCCUUACAGUUUACAGGACGCUCUGUCACCACCUCCCUAUGAGGCUUUGGCAUUAGGUAUAGUUAAAAUGCUGGUUUCACAGUUAAAAAAAAAAUUGUGGCUUGAGGGUGCCUGGGUGGCUCAGUUGGUUAAGCGUUCAGCUGUUGUUUCAGCUCAGGUUAGGUCGAGUCCUGGGCUGGGCUCCGUGCUGACAGUGCGGAGCCUGCUUGCGAUUCUCUCUCUCUCUCUCUCUCUCUCUCUCUCUCUGAAGAAUAAAUUAAAAAAAGAAAGAAAAGAAAAAGAAAAUCGUGGCUUGGAAGGAUGUUCUGCCCAGAAUUGGCUUGUCACUGAACGGUGGACCUGGGUCUCAAGUACAAGUUUCUUUGUUUCUACUUCGUCGUGUGCCCCACGUAUUGUAUCAGCUACAAAGGGAGUGGAGUUCUUGGUUUCAUUUUCAGCCUCGUCCAGAAGGUAGUAGAGUUAUUGUAAUUCUGUUUCAGGCCCGUUGUGACUUAACUACUUCACAAGCCCUUUGGAAUGCCUCAGACACAGCUAAGUAUGAUUUAAUCAAGGUCCUAGUUUUUCUAUGGUUUCCGUAUAUUCGUAUUCGGAUUCCUUUCCCUGGGACAGGACAGGGUUUUCACAGGCAUCAGAACUUAUUUAAAUCUUUUCCCAUCUCCCCCAAUUUUUGUUACAGCUAACGUCCUGGGUAAGGAAGACCACCGCUGUCUUAGUGUUCUGCACCCAGAGGACGAGGGAACAGGAAGCUCAUUCCCAGUCACCGUGUUUCAUCACUGACCACGUCCCUGGGACGGUCUCCCUUGAGGGUCUCUUGAAAUGCUCAUGCUUGGGUUUCUGAUGCUCUCUUGGUGAACCAAGGUGGUCUGUCCGUUAUUGUUGCAAAAGCCCAGGUUUAGAAAAACCUGAGAGAUUGACACUUACAGAUGGCAAACAUCAGACAGGAGCCCCUGUGAGUAGUUCUCUCAGAAGCACACAACCAGUCAAUCAAUCAAUCAAUCAAUCAAUAUAAAUACAAUUUUCAGGACCAGUCUGAAGUAACCACUUUCUCCUUCUGCUUAGUAAUUGCCUGACUUCUUAUAACGGGAGGCGGCACACUGAAUUCCUGUCACUGUAUUGAGGCCCCAAUUGUUCCUGUCACUCAGUCACUAAAUCAGGUUGAUGUUUAUUUAGAGUCUCGGUAAGUGAUCUUUCUGCCUUUCUCACAUGCUCUCUGUAUCUUCUCCGGCUUGGGAUGAUUCUACUGUUUCCCACCCAGGGUCCUAAUUCUAAUUUCUCCAGCCCCGAACUCUGCAAUUCUGGUCAUUCUGUGAUCUGUCUUAUGCAUAGGGUGACUGGCUUCCCAUUGCCUUAGGUUCAGGUGGGAACUUUGCAGUCAAUUUUUUUUUUUCAUAAUAAUACUUUCUGCUUGCAUUAACUAGCACUAAUAACAACUCCAGUUUUCUUUUCAGUGCCUUCUCAUUUGUUCUUUUGUUUUUCUUUUUCUUUUUUUAAACAACUUUCUUCACCUGCCAUUCUCUCCUCUCUGCCUAGCAGAGUUUUCCCAGUUCCAUUUCAAGUUCCAUCUCCUUGAAUAAAUUCCCCUAAUUAACACGUCUAGCCUCUGAUAAUGUGCUUUGAUGACAUUUAACAAUUGGGUGCCAUUAUUAUCAAUGGCAAAUUUAUAAUGCUUCUAUUCUUUUCUCUCAUUAAACUACACCUUAGGGCCUCAGUCAUGGUUUUCCACUACUCUAAGGUUUGUGUUUUUAAUUGACUAAGGUUUUUUUUUUGUUUUUUU
RNAcentral lists this long non-coding RNA (4118 nucleotides) under Lynx pardinus (Iberian lynx). The record is from RNAcentral. Lineage: Eukaryota; Metazoa; Chordata; Mammalia; Carnivora; Felidae.